RNAcentral lists this ribosomal RNA (397 nucleotides) under uncultured bacterium. RNAcentral describes it as "bacterial SSU rRNA". It matches the Rfam family "Bacterial small subunit ribosomal RNA", at positions 28 to 424 of the family's 1533-position model. The record is from RNAcentral.
AGCGAACGUUUGCGGCGGGCUUAACACAUGCAAGUCGAACGGGCUGUUCCUUCGGGGGCAGUCAGUGGCGCACGGGUGCGUAACACGUAGGUAAUCAACCCUCUGGUUGGGGAUAACACUUCGAAAGGAGUGCUAAUACCUGGUAUGGCGCAGCGGUCUUCGGAUCGCGGCGAGAAAGACCCGCAAGGGUUGCCAGAGGACGAGCCUGCGGCCCAUCAGCUAGUUGGCGAGGUAACGGCUCACCAAGGCGAAGACGGGUAGCUGGUCUGAGAGGAUGAUCAGCCACACUGGAACUGAGGCACGGUCCAGACUCCUACGGGAGGCAGCAGUGGGGAAUAUUGCGCAAUGGGCGAAAGCCUGACGCAGCCACGCCGCGUGAGCGAUGAAGGCCUCGGUC